RNAcentral lists this ribosomal RNA (944 nucleotides) under Lactiplantibacillus plantarum. Its description in RNAcentral is "bacterial SSU rRNA". It matches the Rfam family "Bacterial small subunit ribosomal RNA", at positions 504 to 1447 of the family's 1533-position model. Lineage: Bacteria; Bacillati; Bacillota; Bacilli; Lactobacillales; Lactobacillaceae. The record is from RNAcentral.
CGUGCCAGCAGCCGCGGUAAUACGUAGGUGGCAAGCGUUGUCCGGAUUUAUUGGGCGUAAAGCGAGCGCAGGCGGUUUUUUAAGUCUGAUGUGAAAGCCUUCGGCUCAACCGAAGAAGUGCAUCGGAAACUGGGAAACUUGAGUGCAGAAGAGGACAGUGGAACUCCAUGUGUAGCGGUGAAAUGCGUAGAUAUAUGGAAGAACACCAGUGGCGAAGGCGGCUGUCUGGUCUGUAACUGACGCUGAGGCUCGAAAGUAUGGGUAGCAAACAGGAUUAGAUACCCUGGUAGUCCAUACCGUAAACGAUGAAUGCUAAGUGUUGGAGGGUUUCCGCCCUUCAGUGCUGCAGCUAACGCAUUAAGCAUUCCGCCUGGGGAGUACGGCCGCAAGGCUGAAACUCAAAGGAAUUGACGGGGGCCCGCACAAGCGGUGGAGCAUGUGGUUUAAUUCGAAGCUACGCGAAGAACCUUACCAGGUCUUGACAUACUAUGCAAAUCUAAGAGAUUAGACGUUCCCUUCGGGGACAUGGAUACAGGUGGUGCAUGGUUGUCGUCAGCUCGUGUCGUGAGAUGUUGGGUUAAGUCCCGCAACGAGCGCAACCCUUAUUAUCAGUUGCCAGCAUUAAGUUGGGCACUCUGGUGAGACUGCCGGUGACAAACCGGAGGAAGGUGGGGAUGACGUCAAAUCAUCAUGCCCCUUAUGACCUGGGCUACACACGUGCUACAAUGGAUGGUACAACGAGUUGCGAACUCGCGAGAGUAAGCUAAUCUCUUAAAGCCAUUCUCAGUUCGGAUUGUAGGCUGCAACUCGCCUACAUGAAGUCGGAAUCGCUAGUAAUCGCGGAUCAGCAUGCCGCGGUGAAUACGUUCCCGGGCCUUGUACACACCGCCCGUCACACCAUGAGAGUUUGUAACACCCAAAGUCGGUGGGGUAACCUUUUAGGA